UACACAUGCAAGUCGAGGGGCAGCGGAGAGGUAGCAAUACCUUUGCCGGCGACCGGCGCACGGGUGAGUAACACGUAUGCAAUCCACCUGUAACAGGGGGAUAACCCGGAGAAAUCCGGACUAAUACCCCAUAAUAUGGGCGCUCCGCAUGGAGAGCCCAUUAAAGAGAGCAAUUUUGGUUACAGACGAGCAUGCGCUCCAUUAGCCAGUUGGCGGGGUAACGGCCCACCAAGGCGACGAUGGAUAGGGGUUCUGAGAGGAAGGUCCCCCACAUUGGAACUGAGACACGGUCCAAACUCCUACGGGAGGCAGCAGUGAGGAAUAUUGGUCAAUGGUCGGCAGACUGAACCAGCCAAGUCGCGUGAGGGAAGACGGCCCUACGGGUUGUAAACCUCUUUUGUCGGAGAGUAAAGUACGCUACGCGUAGCGUAUUGCAAGUAUCCGAAGAAAAAGCAUCGGCUAACUCCGUGCCAGCAGCCGCGGUAAUACGGAGGAUGCGAGCGUUAUCCGGAUUUAUUGGGUUUAAAGGGUGCGUAGGCGGCACGCCAAGUCAGCGGUGAAAUUUCCGGGCUCAACCCGGAGUGUGCCGUUGAAACUGGCGAGCUAGAGUGCACAAGAGGCAGGCGGAAUGCGUGGUGUAGCGGUGGAAUGCAUAGAUAUCACGCAGAACCCCGAUUGCGAAGGCAGCCUGCUAGGGUGCGACAGACGCUGAGGCACGAAAGCGUGGGUAUCGAACAGGAUUAGAUACCCUGGUAGUCCACGCAGUAAACGAUGAAUACUAACUGUUUGCGAUACAAUGUAAGCGGUACAGCGAAAGCGUUAAGUAUUCCACCUGGGGAGUACGCCGGCAACGGUGAAACUCAAAGGAAUUGACGGGG
This 878-nucleotide ribosomal RNA is filed under the name uncultured bacterium. RNAcentral describes it as "bacterial SSU rRNA". It matches the Rfam family "Bacterial small subunit ribosomal RNA", at positions 50 to 918 of the family's 1533-position model. The record is from RNAcentral.